RNAcentral lists this ribosomal RNA (419 nucleotides) under Bacteroidetes bacterium BAL102. RNAcentral describes it as "bacterial SSU rRNA". It matches the Rfam family "Bacterial small subunit ribosomal RNA", at positions 76 to 495 of the family's 1533-position model. The record is from RNAcentral. Lineage: Bacteria; Pseudomonadati; Bacteroidota.
CUUGCUAAAGAGGAAAGUGGCGCACGGUGUGCGUAACGCGUAUGCAACCUACCUUAAUCAGGGGGAUAGCCCGAAGAAAUUCGGAUUAACACCGCAUAAAAUCACAGUACAGCAUUGUACAAUGAUCAAAUAUUUAUAGGAUUAAGAUGGGCAUGCGUGACAUUAGUUAGUUGGCGGGGUAACGGCCCACCAAGACCACGAUGUCUAGGGGAUCUGAGAGGAUGACCCCCCACACUGGUACUGAGACACGGACCAGACUCCUACGGGAGGCAGCAGUAAGGAAUAUUGGUCAAUGGAGGCAACUCUGAACCAGCCAUGCCGCGUGCAGGAAGACAGCCCUCUGGGUCGUAAACUGCUUUUAUUCGGGAAUAAACCACAUUACGUGUAGUGUGCUGAAUGUACCGAAGGAAUAAGGAUCG